AGCGAGCUUGAAGAGGGAGUCAGCGACGAGGCCGGCGCGGGUGAGGGUACCGAAUAGUGCCAAGAACUGCUCCACUGCCUGCUGCGGGUUGUCAUCCUCCGCGGAGGAUCGUAACUCGGCGUACAUGCUGCUCAAAACAGAGUGGCUAAACAAAUUUGAUUCAGACUGUUAUCAAGUAAAAAGAAACAAGAAACAAGAGGCAGUAAUGUCAGAGCAUAGGUGGAGACUCAGUCCAAUAAUGCAGAGAUUUGUCAGAGUCGGGAUCUUACUGUGAUCAACACAGUAGUAAGUUUGGUCAAGAAGGCCCACUGUUCAGAACAAUCAAAGGUGUUCUUCAUCUUCUCUACAAACUAAAAGGAUCUUUCUCUUGAACAUUGCACUGUCAGCAUUAGUGGUAUCAUUUGGCAUAAAAAAGUACCUACUCUACUUGAUGUAUAUCAAACUAUAAUAGUCUUAAUGAGUUUUGCUGGACUCAACAGGAUUGCUCCGAUUGGUGGGGGCAUUACUUGUAAUCAUUUUCUGUCUCUCUUUGUAAAAAGAAAGGUUUUAGUGAGUUAUGCCUAUAUCACGACAUAUUGUUUUGCUC
This is a long non-coding RNA of Musa acuminata AAA Group (dessert banana), 586 nucleotides long. RefSeq lists it as uncharacterized. The record is from RefSeq and is a predicted model, not a curated record. The transcript is spliced from 2 exons. Lineage: Eukaryota; Viridiplantae; Streptophyta; Magnoliopsida; Zingiberales; Musaceae.